RNAcentral lists this ribosomal RNA (460 nucleotides) under uncultured bacterium. Its description in RNAcentral is "partial 16S ribosomal RNA". It matches the Rfam family "Bacterial small subunit ribosomal RNA", at positions 338 to 795 of the family's 1533-position model. The record is from RNAcentral.
CCUACGGGGGGCAGCAGUGAGGAAUAUUGGUCAAUGGGCGUAAGCCUGAACCAGCCAAGUCGCGUGAGGGAUGAAGGUUCUAUGGAUCGUAAACCUCUUUUAUAAGGGAGUAAAGUGUGGGACGUGUCCUGUUUUGUCUGUACCUUAUGAAUAAGGAUCGGCUAACUCCGUGCCAGCAGCCGCGGUAAUACGGAGGAUCCGAGCGUUAUCCGGAUUUAUUGGGUUUAAAGGGUGCGUAGGCGGCCUUUUAAGUCAGCGGUGAAAGUCUGUGGCUCAACCAUAGAAUUGCCGUUGAAACUGGGAGGCUUGAGUAUGUUUGAGGCAGGCGGAAUGCGUGGUGUAGCGGUGAAAUGCUUAGAUAUUACGCAGAACCCCGAUGGCGAAGGCAGCCUGCCAAGCCAUGACUGACGCUGAUGCACGAAAGCGUGGGGAUCAAACAGGAUUAGAUACCCCAGUAGUC